GAAUGUGUAGUGUAGCGGUGAAAUGCUUAGAUAUUACACAGAACACCGAUUGCGAAGGCAGCUUACUAAACUGUUACUGACGCUGAUGCACGAAAGCGUGGGGAGCGAACAGGAUUAGAUACCCUGGUAGUCCACGCCGUAAACGAUGACCACUCGCUGUAUGCGAUACACAGUAUGCGGCCAAGCGAAAGCAUUAAGUGAUCCACCUGGGGAGUACGAUCGCAAGGUUGAAACUCAAAGGAAUUGACGG
RNAcentral lists this ribosomal RNA (250 nucleotides) under uncultured bacterium. RNAcentral describes it as "partial 16S ribosomal RNA". It matches the Rfam family "Bacterial small subunit ribosomal RNA", at positions 664 to 916 of the family's 1533-position model. The record is from RNAcentral.